UGGGGAAUAUUGGACAAUGGGCGCAAGCCUGAUCCAGCCAUGCCGCGUGAGUGAUGAAGGCCCUAGGGUUGUAAAGCUCUUUCACCGGUGAAGAUAAUGACGGUAACCGGAGAAGAAGCCCCGGCUAACUUCGUGCCAGCAGCCGCGGUAAUACGAAGGGGGCUAGCGUUGUUCGGAUUUACUGGGCGUAAAGCGCACGUAGGCGGACUUUUAAGUCAGGGGUGAAAUCCCGGGGCUCAACCCCGGAACUGCCUUUGAUACUGGAAGUCUUGAGUAUGGUAGAGAUGAGUGGAAUUCCGAGUGUAGAGGUGAAAUUCGUAGAUAUUCGGAGGAACACCAGUGGCGAAGGCGGCUCACUGGACCAUUACUGACGCUGAGGUGCGAAAGCGUGGGGAGCAAACAGG
Molecule: ribosomal RNA, 404 nt
Filed under: Brucella melitensis
Lineage: Bacteria; Pseudomonadati; Pseudomonadota; Alphaproteobacteria; Hyphomicrobiales; Brucellaceae
Also listed under: 2 other names
Description: partial 16S ribosomal RNA
Rfam family: Bacterial small subunit ribosomal RNA
Source: RNAcentral